This is a long non-coding RNA of Camellia sinensis, 960 nucleotides long. RefSeq lists it as uncharacterized. The record is from RefSeq and is a predicted model, not a curated record. NCBI's taxonomy places the organism in Eukaryota, Viridiplantae, Streptophyta, Magnoliopsida, Ericales, Theaceae.
GAAAAGACAUUAGUUCAGUUGAUCUUAAUACAAGUGUCUGCCUUUGUUCAGGUGAGCAUUCAGUAAAACAGAGGAUUAUAGUAAUUUUCACAAGAUAUUUAAAAUUUCUUGAUUUGGUUUUGUUGGUUGAUUGGAGUGAGUUUGAAUAUAAUUUGAAUUAGUUUUCUUUGUUUUUUAAUAAAAAUUGAAUUACACAAAAAAUAAUAAUAAAAAUAAAAAAUGAAUUAGUUAUGUUUGUAAUUUUGCAAAUGCAUCAAGUUGUGUUUAGUCUUUUGUGGAUGCAACACAGCUUAACUUUAGAUAAGUUCAAUUCCAAAGUGUUCUUUUAAAGUUUCUUACUUACAUCUCUGUUUUGUGCCAAAUCAAAUGGGUUACAAUUUUUUUCUUUUCUUUUACAAUUUACCCUUUUGUAUUGCUAAUGACAUUAAACAUAGUGAGCAUGCAGCCCUGACGUUCAUCUUUGGAGCAGCCAAGAAGAGUGCAGAACACUUUAUUCAAUCAGACGAGAAUGGGGUAUGAGAUUAGAGAAGCCAUUGUUACUCAAGUAAUCUUUCCGAAGAUUUUUAUUCUGGUGAGAGGUUUGCAUUAUUAUAGUGAAUGAAGGCACUGAAUCAAGAAAGGCAACAGAAUAUUGCCGCGUAGCAGAAGUUUCAAUAAGGCCAUGUUUGUUGACUGUGAGCAAGUUGAACAUCAAGGAUAGAGAUCGCCUCGGAGUCACCCCGUAGUCAGCCUUUUGUGGAGCUCCCGUGAAUGGGCCAACUUGGUCUCGCAAAGAGUCAAGCGAAGUCUAAACCCCUUUUUAUUUUGAACCUUGGUUAAAUUUUGGUAAUAGGGGUUUUAAUUUGUACAUGUUGAUAAGUUUGGAUUGUGGCUGAACUUCUUCUUUUGAAUAUUUAUGUAUAUAAAUAUAUGCACUUCUCUUUGGAAUUGAUGUAUAGUGUUAAUGUGAACUCUUCAUUU